RNAcentral lists this ribosomal RNA (254 nucleotides) under uncultured bacterium. RNAcentral describes it as "partial 16S ribosomal RNA". It matches the Rfam family "Bacterial small subunit ribosomal RNA", at positions 524 to 777 of the family's 1533-position model. The record is from RNAcentral.
UACAGAGGUCUCAAGCGUUGUUCGGAUUCAUUGGGCGUAAAGGGCGCGUAGGCGGCCUGGCAAGUGGAAGGUGAAAUCCCUCGGCUUAACCGAGGAACUGCCCUCCAAACUGCUUGGCUUGAGACCGGGAGAGGUGAGUGGAAUUCCCAGUGUAGCGGUGAAAUGCGUAGAUAUUGGGAGGAACACCAGUGGCGAAGGCGGCUCACUGGACCGGUACUGACGCUGAUGCGCGAAAGCGUGGGGAGCAAACGGGG